RNAcentral lists this ribosomal RNA (495 nucleotides) under uncultured bacterium. RNAcentral's name for it is "partial 16S ribosomal RNA". It matches the Rfam family "Bacterial small subunit ribosomal RNA", at positions 28 to 507 of the family's 1533-position model. The record is from RNAcentral.
GACGAACGCUGGCGGCGUGCCUAAUACAUGCAAGUAGAACGCUGAAGGAGGAGCUUGCUUCUCCGGAUGAGUUGCGAACGGGUGAGUAACGCGUAGGUAACCUGCCUGGUAGCGGGGGAUAACUAUUGGAAACGAUAGCUAAUACCGCAUAACAGUAGAUGUUGCAUGACAUUUGCUUAAAAGGUGCAAUUGCAUCACUACCAGAUGGACCUGCGUUGUAUUAGCUAGUUGGUGAGGUAACGGCUCACCAAGGCGACGAUACAUAGCCGACCUGAGAGGGUGGUCGGCCACACUGGGACGGAGACACGGCCCAGCCGCCUACGGGAGGCAGCAGUAGGGAAUCUUCGGCAAUGGACGGAAGACUGACCGAGCAACGCGGCGUGAGUGAGGAAGGUUUUCGGGUCGUAAAGCUCGGUUGUAGGAGAAGAACGAGUGUGAGAGUGGAAAGUUCACACUGUGACGGUAUCUGACCAGAAAGGGACGGCUAACUACGUG